ACGGAAGGCAGCAGUGGGGAAUAUUGGACAAUGGGGGAAACCCUGAUCCAGCGACGCCGCGUGAGUGAAGAAGUAUUUCGGUAUGUAAAGCUCUAUCAGCAGGGAAGAUAAUGACGGUACCUGACUAAGAAGCCCCGGCUAACUACGUGCGAGCAGCCGCGGUAGUACGUAGGGGGCAAGCGUUAUCCGGAUUUACUGGGUGUAAAGGGAGCGUAGACGGCAUGGCAAGUCUGAUGUGAAAACCCGGGGCUCAACCUCGGGACUGCAUUGGAAACUGUCAAGCUAGAGUGCAGGAGAGGUAAGUGGAAUUCCUAGUGUAGCGGUGAAAUGCGUAGAUAUUAGGAGGGACACCAGUGGCGAAGGCGGCUUACUGGACUGUAACUGGCGUUGAGGCUCGAAGGCGUGGGGAGCAAACAGGAUUAGAUACCCUGGUA
RNAcentral lists this ribosomal RNA (434 nucleotides) under uncultured Lachnospiraceae bacterium. RNAcentral's name for it is "partial 16S ribosomal RNA". It matches the Rfam family "Bacterial small subunit ribosomal RNA", at positions 341 to 792 of the family's 1533-position model. The record is from RNAcentral. Lineage: Bacteria; Bacillati; Bacillota; Clostridia; Lachnospirales; Lachnospiraceae.